GACGAACGCUGGCGGCGUGCUUAAUACAUGCAAGUCGAACGGAAAGGCCCUGAUUGCAGGGUACUGGAGUGGCGAACGGGUGAGUAACACGUGGGUGAUCUGCCCUGCACUUCGGGAUAAGCCUGGGCAACAGGGUCUAAUACCGGAUAGGAACUAUAUUGAGCGGGAUGGUUGGAAAGUUUUUGUCGGUGUAGGGUGAGCUCGCGGCCUAUCAGCUUGUUGGUGGGGUAAUGGCCUACCAAGGCGGCGACGGGUAGCCGGCCUGAGAGGGUGGACGGCGACCUUGGGUCUGAGAGGCGGCCCCAGCUCCUACGGUGGGCCGCUGUGGGGAAUCUUGCAGGAUGGGCGCCAGCCUGAUGCAGCGACGCCGCGUGGGGGAUGACGGCCUUCGGGUUGAAAACCCCUUUCGCUAGGGACGAAGCUUUUUGUGACGGUACCUAGAUAAGAAGCCCCGGCUAACUACGUG
Molecule: ribosomal RNA, 466 nt
Filed under: uncultured bacterium
Lineage: Bacteria
Description: partial 16S ribosomal RNA
Rfam family: Bacterial small subunit ribosomal RNA
Source: RNAcentral